RNAcentral lists this ribosomal RNA (261 nucleotides) under Escherichia coli. RNAcentral's name for it is "partial 23S ribosomal RNA". It matches the Rfam family "Bacterial large subunit ribosomal RNA", at positions 2108 to 2368 of the family's 2925-position model. Lineage: Bacteria; Pseudomonadati; Pseudomonadota; Gammaproteobacteria; Enterobacterales; Enterobacteriaceae. The record is from RNAcentral.
AGCUUGACACUGAACAUUGAGCCUUGAUGUGUAGGAUAGGUGGGAGGCUUUGAAGUGUGGACGCCAGUCUGCAUGGAGCCGACCUUGAAAUACCACCCUUUAAUGUUUGAUGUUCUAACGUUGACCCCUAAUCGGGGUUGCGGACAGUGUCUGGUGGGUAGUUUGACUGGGGCGGUCUCCUCCUAAAGAGUAACGGAGGAGCACGAAGGUUGGCUAAUCCUGGUCGGACAUCAGGAGGUUAGUGCAAUGGCAUAAGCCAGC